Molecule: non-coding RNA, 72 nt
Organism: Phrynosoma platyrhinos (Desert horned lizard)
Lineage: Eukaryota; Metazoa; Chordata; Lepidosauria; Squamata; Phrynosomatidae
Source: the annotation of a GenBank genome assembly
GACAGCAUGGUGUAGUGGUUUGAGUGUCAGACUGCCACUCAGAAGACCAGGGUUCGAUUCAGAACUCAGUCA